RNAcentral lists this ribosomal RNA (1435 nucleotides) under Staphylococcus aureus M1254. RNAcentral's name for it is "bacterial LSU rRNA". It matches the Rfam family "Bacterial large subunit ribosomal RNA", at positions 1489 to 2925 of the family's 2925-position model. The record is from RNAcentral. Lineage: Bacteria; Bacillati; Bacillota; Bacilli; Caryophanales; Staphylococcaceae. RNAcentral also lists the same sequence under 3 other names.
AGCGUGCGAUUGGAUUGCACGUCUAAGCAGUAAGGCUGAGUAUUAGGCAAAUCCGGUACUCGUUAAGGCUGAGCUGUGAUGGGGAGAAGACAUUGAGUCUUCGAGUCGUUGAUUUCACACUGCCGAGAAAAGCCUCUAGAUAGAAAAUAGGUGCCCGUACCGCAAACCGACACAGGUAGUCAAGAUGAGAAUUCUAAGGUGAGCGAGCGAACUCUCGUUAAGGAACUCGGCAAAAUGACCCCGUAACUUCGGGAGAAGGGGUGCUCUUUAGGGUUAACGCCCAGAAGAGCCGCAGUGAAUAGGCCCAAGCGACUGUUUAUCAAAAACACAGGUCUCUGCUAAACCGUAAGGUGAUGUAUAGGGGCUGACGCCUGCCCGGUGCUGGAAGGUUAAGAGGAGUGGUUAGCUUCUGCGAAGCUACGAAUCGAAGCCCCAGUAAACGGCGGCCGUAACUAUAACGGUCCUAAGGUAGCGAAAUUCCUUGUCGGGUAAGUUCCGACCCGCACGAAAGGCGUAACGAUUUGGGCACUGUCUCAACGAGAGACUCGGUGAAAUCAUAGUACCUGUGAAGAUGCAGGUUACCCGCGACAGGACGGAAAGACCCCGUGGAGCUUUACUGUAGCCUGAUAUUGAAAUUCGGCACAGCUUGUACAGGAUAGGUAGGAGCCUUUGAAACGUGAGCGCUAGCUUACGUGGAGGCGCUGGUGGGAUACUACCCUAGCUGUGUUGGCUUUCUAACCCGCACCACUUAUCGUGGUGGGAGACAGUGUCAGGCGGGCAGUUUGACUGGGGCGGUCGCCUCCUAAAAGGUAACGGAGGCGCUCAAAGGUUCCCUCAGAAUGGUUGGAAAUCAUUCAUAGAGUGUAAAGGCAUAAGGGAGCUUGACUGCGAGACCUACAAGUCGAGCAGGGUCGAAAGACGGACUUAGUGAUCCGGUGGUUCCGCAUGGAAGGGCCAUCGCUCAACGGAUAAAAGCUACCCCGGGGAUAACAGGCUUAUCUCCCCCAAGAGUUCACAUCGACGGGGAGGUUUGGCACCUCGAUGUCGGCUCAUCGCAUCCUGGGGCUGUAGUCGGUCCCAAGGGUUGGGCUGUUCGCCCAUUAAAGCGGUACGCGAGCUGGGUUCAGAACGUCGUGAGACAGUUCGGUCCCUAUCCGUCGUGGGCGUAGGAAAUUUGAGAGGAGCUGUCCUUAGUACGAGAGGACCGGGAUGGACAUACCUCUGGUGUACCAGUUGUCGUGCCAACGGCAUAGCUGGGUAGCUAUGUGUGGACGGGAUAAGUGCUGAAAGCAUCUAAGCAUGAAGCCCCCCUCAAGAUGAGAUUUCCCAACUUCGGUUAUAAGAUCCCUCAAAGAUGAUGAGGUUAAUAGGUUCGAGGUGGAAGCAUGGUGACAUGUGGAGCUGACGAAUACUAAUCGAUCGAAGACUUAAUCAA